UUUUUAGAUCUGGUGGACCAUCUUUAAGGAUCCUAUCAGUUCUAUUUGAUCCAUCCCGGAUGCUGUGCAGAUGAUAAGGACGAAAAAAAUAAUUAAAACUUGGGAUGCAGGUGCAUGCACGCGAAGGUUUCACCAUACUCCGGACAAUUCCUGAAAGAUAUUUUGGUCCUAAGAUGCAUCGCUGGUACCUGUAGAGAAAUGCAUAUCGGAUAUUCCAUCCAUGAUGACAAUUCGAUGUCCGAGUGUCAGCGAUAUCAUGGUGUAAGACUUUGAGUCUUGAUUCACGGUGGGCAAUUGUCAGUCGCGUCAGGCGCACGCUGAAUUCUUAUGCUAAUGCGAGAAAGGAGCCGAGAAGACAAUACAGCCACAUCCACGUUCAACCACAACAUACGCAGGUCGUACCGUAUUCUGUAUUCUGUAUUCCGUCUAGUGAAUUAAUACAGCUACGGGGACCGCCGAGUGAUUUUAGAUGUGGAGAGAUCGUGAUCCGCUCGCUUGGAUCGUUGACCAGCUGAACCUGGCACGAUCGCCCGAUCAGGAGGAACGUCCGGGUUUUGAAUCUCGAGACUUGGAUACAUGAGAAAUUUUCACAAUUUUCAAUUCCAUACGAGAGAGGAAGAGGAUAGGAGAUAAAUUUGAAAUUUCCACGAGAAACAAUGACAAAUCUAAAGAAAAAGCAGAGCCACAAUAUUGAGAUGAUGACGAAUUUUCAUAGGAACUGUGACUAAUGACUCUCAGAAGCGUCACGAAGAGAGAAACGAUAAAAGUGAUUCUCUGGAGUGGAAAGGAAAUGGCAUGUUGUAUCUACGCAAGAAAAUGACACAGUGCCCGGCUAAAAUUUGCACAAUAGUUUUGGUUUACCGUGUUACGUACGAGAAAGCAAGGAUUCCUCUUUCCGUUUCUUCCUCGAGUGACUCUGUUAUGUGGAGGUUACUGGUGGAUGCUACUUCCGUUUGGCUGGCACAAGAACGUUACGGUAUCGGCACCACUUCCGGUCAACAUAGACGCUUCCGGACUACAGUCGAAUUAUCCCAUGAGCUUGGUCGAUUCCCACGCGGUACACCCCUUUGCGAAAAAUUUUCAACAAUGAAACCAACAGUCGUUGCUCGAAACAGUCAGCUGUGGUGGAACUGUUAGAUAAAUAAAUAUGUAACAGAAAUAUGAAGACUCAAAGGAUAAAAAAAGUAAGGAUUAAAUCUUUAUACUCCAUAAUGAAAGUUUAUUUGGCCAUUCUCAUCCACUCGUUUCACUGCUACAGGUGUUCGUGACUAUUCGCAAAAUGAAUCAUCUAUUCAGUGCAUGCAAAGAUGUCGAUAGCCCUCCUGUAUAAAUAUAUAUAUAUAUAUAUAUGCAGGUAUGAAGUACAAUCACGAAGUUUAAAAAUGGCUGCACAAAGCCAUCACACACAAACGCACAUACCCGUCCUUAUGGCUCAGAAGAAGCUUUGGUCGCUGAUCGCUGAACAACGUGCGCGGCCAUUACUCAUCGAUUAGGAUUCAUCAGGACUCUCCGUUACUUUUUAGGCACGAGCUCAAGCAAGUUGUUAUGGCGCAGGUUGCUACCUUCAUGGCGUAUCAGAACCCAUGACUAUGUAUGACUCUUGCAAAGAUCUUCCAUGCUGUUUUUACAAUCUCUCAAUAUUCUAUUUGAAGCUGUCCUUACGGUGCAGCCAUUUAUUUUGGUAAUAGUACAAAUGACCACCUGUCACUUGGACUGGUCUUGAGAAAAGCUCAGCAGAAUACCAGAAAACAAUCUCUCCUUGGCUACCAUGUACUUAAUUUCUUUUCACUUCUUUACAGUUAAACAGAGCGAUAAAUUAUUGCUCCUCGAAUCCAGCAAUUGCGAAGAUCUCAUAAGUAAUAAUGCAGGCGUAUAAGGGCAUGGCGAUGGUUAAAGACAGUGACUGAUGCCGGUGCGACGAGGAAUCAUCUACAGGGAAAUCAGAUCACGAUUAAUGUGGGAAAUCAUGAAGCCCAGGAAUAUCGGUAGUCAAGAGGGAGGAUAACACUGAGAAGUCCAGCAGGUAACGGUCGUUCUGCCUGGCCAGGACAGAUGAGUGUAGCAUUUCCCAUAUUGUCUCCGCAACUGACGACUAUCCUGCAAACAGGCAACCACUAAUCCAGUGGUGCUCAGGAUGCUUGUGUAUCUGACACCCUUGCAAGGGAUGAACUCGAGGUGAGUUUCGAGCUGUUCAGUGAGUAGAGAAUAAAAAUGUUGUUAAUCCUAUAUAUGAUUGACUUUUAGGUUACCUUAAUCCCAUUACCAUUUCAGGGUAAUUUCUAACCUACAAAUUGGGAAUGAGACAAGAUAAUAAUUAACCAGGAAUACAGUCCUGUGGGCACGAUAUCGUCUUUUAGAUGAAAUUGAGCGUCACUGAACUGACCAGUACGACAUCCAGGCAACGAGGCAACGGCACGAAGACGGCAACGUAUGAGCGAGCAGGCAGUAGGUAGGCGUGGCUCCCACCCAACUAUACAAAAUUACAUAUUCCUCAUCGAGGCUCGAAUACGGGAAAAAUUAUGAAUUGCGCUUACUGGAGGAUCCUACUGUGGCAGUGAAGACAUUCUUUUCAAAUAUGAUCCAAUCGAUGGACCCUUGCUUCAGUUGACACAUAUACAACAAAUUUGGAAAUCUC
Molecule: long non-coding RNA, 2635 nt
Organism: Cephus cinctus (wheat stem sawfly)
Lineage: Eukaryota; Metazoa; Arthropoda; Insecta; Hymenoptera; Cephidae
Exons: 4
Source: RefSeq, a predicted model, not a curated record